Cyprinus carpio carpio is the source of this 722-nucleotide long non-coding RNA. NCBI's taxonomy places the organism in Eukaryota, Metazoa, Chordata, Actinopteri, Cypriniformes, Cyprinidae. The record is from Ensembl.
GUAAUAGGCUAUAUGCACACUCACUUCCGCAUUCCAAGUCGGCCAGCCAGGUUACAUCCGGCGUCGACGGCGCACAUAGCGUCAAUAACAACUAUGGCAUUUUUCACUCGGUCCCUUCAAGAUGUCCCAAAGGUAACGGUCAACGACGUGAGUCGAAUCAUACAAAAGUUAUGUCACACUUCGACAACCAAGAAAGAGAAGGGCUUCAAAUUGUAUGUGUCAAGCUACAUCCACAAUUUUGAAGAUUGUGCUUGGGGAUGCCCGUCCUGUGCAGCUACAAAGCUGCCAGUGUACCUGUGUGGCAGGUACAGCUGUGUGUAAUCAUGUGGCAGCACUGUUGUACCAGACUGCACAUUAUUGCCAGCUUAGCAUCACCUCUGUUCCCCCAACACACAGCUGCACAGAGACUGAACAGAAGUGGCAUAAGCCAAGAUCCAUGGGUGUUAAACCUGGUCUUGUAAAUGACAUGGUAAUUCUUUCAGCCAGACCCAAGGAACGAAAACUGAUGGAAGGCAUUAGGAGGACAUGUUUAUUCAGAGGAUUCCCAGAGACAAUGAAAUCACCAAAACAAUGAAAGUAAAAAUUGAUUUUUUUUAUUUUUAUUGUUACCUCUUUGCUUCCCUAAAUAAUUAGAUUCUGAUUGCCUGUCACACUUCUUUAUAGAGUGCUGUUAAUUUCUCUUUUCUCCAUUUCUCUUACUGGCAGUAACUCUUAUUAGUUCA